Molecule: ribosomal RNA, 557 nt
Filed under: uncultured bacterium
Lineage: Bacteria
Description: bacterial SSU rRNA
Rfam family: Bacterial small subunit ribosomal RNA
Source: RNAcentral
ACGGGUGAGUAACGCGUGGGAAUCUACCGUACCCUACGGAAUAGCUCUGGGAAACUGGAGGUAAUACCGUAUACGCCCGGAAGGGGAAAGAUUUAUCGGGGUAUGAUGAGCCCGCGUUGGAUUAGCUAGUUGGUGGGGUAAAGGCCUACCAAGGCGACGAUCCAUAGCUGGUCUGAGAGGAUGAUCAGCCACAUUGGGACUGAGACACGGCCCAAACUCCUACGGGAGGCAGCAGUGGGGAAUAUUGGACAAUGGGGGCAACCCUGAUCCAGCCAUGCCGCGUGAGUGAUGAAGGUCUUAGGAUUGUAAAGCUCUUUCACCGAUGAAGAUAAUGACGGUAGUCGGAGAAGAAGCCCCGGCAAACUUCGUGCCAGCAGCCGCGGUAAUACGAAGGGGGCUAGCGUUGUUCGGAAUUACUGGGCGUAAAGCGCACGUAGGCGGAUAAUUAAGUCAGGGGUGAAAUCCCGCAGCUCAACUGCGGAACUGCCUUUGAUACUGGUUAUCUUGAGUAUGGAAGAGGUAAGUGGAAUUGCGAGUGUAGAGGUGAAAUUCGUAGA